RNAcentral lists this long non-coding RNA (460 nucleotides) under Danio rerio (zebrafish). Its description in RNAcentral is "si:ch73-22a13.4 (ENSDARG00000099852.2)". The record is from RNAcentral. Lineage: Eukaryota; Metazoa; Chordata; Actinopteri; Cypriniformes; Danionidae.
AUCUUUUAUCUUCUCUGUUUUGUGUGCAUCUGUGCUGCUGUUUGAGUCACCUCACUGGCAUUGAGCAGGGUCUGUGGCGAAUCACCCAGUACAGAAUCAGCAUUGCCAUGGACACAGUGCAUGCGUGAUGAUUACUACUGAGAGCGUGCCAAUAAGAAACACCUUAAGCUCAUCAGUGGGACUGGAUAAAAGGAGCUAAAACAGAAAGUAGGGGGACAUCAUGGCUGAGCUGGACAUCCUCUGGGACUGGUAUGGUCUUUCCAAAAUCGAUCAUCCAUAUGUUGGCUUUGUUGUUGCGGUCGUGGACGAAAAGUAAGGAGCUGCCUAUGAUCUGCGAGAAGUUGAGAAGAUGUUUGGAUGAAGACAACUGUUAAGUCAUAUGCCAAACAGGCAUAAAACAUCUUUGGCUGCAGAUUUUAUUUAUUAAAUAAAAAUCGCCCAUUCUUAUAACCAAUUGCAC